AUUGAACGCUGGCGGCAGGCUUAACACAUGCAAGUCGAGCGAGCGGCGGACGGUUGAGUAAUGUCUGGGAAACUGCCUGAUGGAGGGGGAUAACUACUGGCAACGGUAGCUAAUACCGCAUACCAUCAGAUGUGCCCAGAUGGGAUUAGCUAGUAGGUGGUGUAAUGGCUCGCCUAGGCGACGAUCCCUAGCUGGUAUGAGAGGAUGACCGGCCACACUGGAACUGAGACACGGUCCAGACUCCUACGGGAGGCAGCGGUGGGGAAUAUUGCGCAAUGGGCGCAAGCCUGAGGCAGCCAUGCCGCGUGUGUGAAGAGGGCCUUCGGGUUGUAAAGCACUUUCAGCGAGGAGGCGUUACGCGCAGAAGAAGCACCGGCUAACUCCGUGCCAGCAGCCGCGGUAAUUC
RNAcentral lists this ribosomal RNA (406 nucleotides) under uncultured bacterium. RNAcentral's name for it is "partial 16S ribosomal RNA". It matches the Rfam family "Bacterial small subunit ribosomal RNA", at positions 30 to 526 of the family's 1533-position model. The record is from RNAcentral.